RNAcentral lists this ribosomal RNA (253 nucleotides) under uncultured bacterium. RNAcentral describes it as "partial 16S ribosomal RNA". It matches the Rfam family "Bacterial small subunit ribosomal RNA", at positions 524 to 776 of the family's 1533-position model. The record is from RNAcentral.
GACAGAGGAGGCGAGCGUUGUCCGGAGUCAUUGGGCGUAAAGGGUACGUAGGCGGCUAGUCAAGUCUGAGGUUAAAGACCACGGCUUAACUGUGGAAAGGCCUUGGAAACUGACUGGCUAGAGUGGGGCAGGGGUUGCGGGAAUUCCCGGUGUAGCGGUGAAAUGCGUAGAUAUCGGGAAGAACACCUGAGGCGAAAGCGCGCAACUGGGCCCUAACUGACGCUGAGGUACGAAAGCUAGGGGAGCGAAUGGG